UUUGGAGCCAGCAAGAGGCCGGGGAUGGGUCUGGGGGUCUCUCCAGAGCCCUCUUCUCUCUCUGUGCCUUCACUCUCCUUCUCUGACAGGACUUCCGACAUCUUUUCUCAUUAGAAUUAAUGGAGAACUAUCCCCAAAGCUAUUAAGUCAUAGUGCUCUGAAAUUGCUGAAACAGAAUAAUUUCUCCUUCAUUCUAGGGUGUAAAUCUUG
This 210-nucleotide long non-coding RNA is filed under the name Pan troglodytes (chimpanzee). RNAcentral describes it as "long non-coding RNA NONPTRT009012". The record is from RNAcentral. Lineage: Eukaryota; Metazoa; Chordata; Mammalia; Primates; Hominidae.